Molecule: transfer RNA, 74 nt
Filed under: Microgenomates group bacterium ADurb.Bin219
Lineage: Bacteria
Description: tRNA-Ala
Rfam family: tRNA
About the family: Transfer RNA (tRNA) molecules are approximately 80 nucleotides in length. Their secondary structure includes four short double-helical elements and three loops (D, anti-codon, and T loops). Further hydrogen bonds mediate the characteristic L-shaped molecular structure. tRNAs have two regions of fundamental functional importance: the anti-codon, which is responsible for specific mRNA codon recognition, and the 3' end, to which the tRNAs corresponding amino acid is attached (by aminoacyl-tRNA synthetases). tRNAs cope with the degeneracy of the genetic code in two manners: having more than one tRNA (with a specific anti-codon) for a particular amino acid; and 'wobble' base-pairing, i.e. permitting non-standard base-pairing at the 3rd anti-codon position.
Source: RNAcentral
GGGCCGUUGGCUCAGUUGGUAGAGCGUCUCUAUGGCAUAGAGAAGGUCGCCGGUCCGAUUCCGGCACGGUCCAC